AUCAUCGAUUACAUAUAUGGACAGAAGUUUCACUUCAUCAUGUACAUUAUGAAGCCCUGACUAAUUCGCGCCAUGGUCUCGGAGCUUGCAAAGCGCCACAACAUGAUAUUCCCUACCAAACACAUCCAUGCAUAUAUCCCUUCUUUACUAGUCCAUGUAACUGGCAUCCUGUCCUGCGGCCUCCAGGAACGCAAUCCAUGACCCAUAGCCACCUGCAAACUCAAACCUCCGCAAGCAAGCUUGCAUUCUUUCCUGAUAGACUGUUGAUCUAUUAGACCGUUAGCUAGCCUCGGCCUUACCAACUUAAUGGACUCGUGACAGAAAAUGCCAAAAAAUGCCCCUUCCUGUGUCGGCCUAAAAAGCACACGCACAAUUGGAAGCACUUCGUCCCAGCCGCUGCUCCCCUCAAACAGAAGUGAAAAGACACGGAAAGAUUCUUAAGAGGCAGCUACUGCUUGUAGAACCUCCGCACGGCUCGGGGAGCGUCUUCUGGAAUGGCAGCCUGUGACUUCUUCUGGGCCGCCUCCUUCCGACGAACCGCCUGCAAGGAACAUGGGAGGAAAGGAAAACGUAAGAAAAACGCCACAAAGCCGCAAACCCCUACAUGCCAGGGCCUGUGCCUCCCAUUUUACCUUCCCCCAACCCGCUCAGUCCUCACCUCCUCCUUCUGUCGCUCCUGAAUGGAGGGUUUGCGGUCCUCAAUGAUAUUGCUCUGCUUCUUGCGAUGCCGCCGACUGGGCUUAUUCUUGCCCUUCAUCUUGGCCUUGACCUCCGACUUGCGCCGCAUCGCCACCAGACGAGCCGUGUUCGCGGCAGCUUCCUCUUCCCGGCGCUCCUUCAUCACGUCGGCGGGCUCUUUGCGGACCCUGUUUGCACCGCCGACGACAGGCACACAAACAGCUUACAGCUUGGACGAACAACGGGAACACGCAUUGGAGCCUUCGAUAUAGGCAAGCUCGAUGGGCGGAAGUGAAGCGCAGCGUAUCUCGUGGGGACGAGCUGCAACUCCACAGGACAAGAGGACCUAGCAGCGCAGCUAACUCCGGCAUAAAGUGAUGAUCUGGGUCAAACUUGGCAGCGCCUGGCUACCUGCACACUUUAACGACGCAGUGUAGCAGAAACACAUUUGUGCUUGCGUGCUCCCUCUUUCCGCGCUUUUCCCCCUGCCGCUCAUAGCGCCGUUCCCGAG
Molecule: long non-coding RNA, 1189 nt
Filed under: Volvox carteri
Lineage: Eukaryota; Viridiplantae; Chlorophyta; Chlorophyceae; Chlamydomonadales; Volvocaceae
Description: long non-coding RNA (VCAR_LNC000511)
Source: RNAcentral